RNAcentral lists this ribosomal RNA (356 nucleotides) under uncultured bacterium. RNAcentral describes it as "bacterial SSU rRNA". It matches the Rfam family "Bacterial small subunit ribosomal RNA", at positions 28 to 385 of the family's 1533-position model. The record is from RNAcentral.
GAUGAACGCUAGCGGCAGGCCUAAUACAUGCAAGUCGAGGGGUAACGCGGUAGCAAUACUGGCGACGACCGGCGCACGGGUGCGUAACGCGUAUGCAAUUUGCCCAUAACAAGGGGAUAGCCCGGAGAAAUCCGGAUUAAUACCCUAUAAUAUAUUGAGUAGGCAUCUAUUUAAUAUUAAAGAUUUAUCGGUUAUGGAUGAGCAUGCGUCUGAUUAGCUAGNGGUAAGGUAAUGGCUUACCAAGGCUACGAUCAGUAGGGGGUCUGAGAGGAUGAUCCCCCANACUGGUACUGAGAUACGGACCAGACUCCUACGGGAGCAGCAGUAGGGAAUAUUGGGCAAUGGACGAGAGUCUG